GGUCCUUAAGUGUAGGUUCCCUUAGCUUUUAACUAAAAACGCUAAGGAACGGCCCUUAAAUAAGGGACUUUAGAGAAGUCCCUUAGUAUUUUUAGUUAAAAGUUAAGGGACCCUACGCUUAAGGACC
Molecule: non-coding RNA, 127 nt
Organism: Brassica napus (rape)
Lineage: Eukaryota; Viridiplantae; Streptophyta; Magnoliopsida; Brassicales; Brassicaceae
Source: Rfam